This 477-nucleotide ribosomal RNA is filed under the name uncultured bacterium. RNAcentral describes it as "partial 16S ribosomal RNA". It matches the Rfam family "Bacterial small subunit ribosomal RNA", at positions 29 to 507 of the family's 1533-position model. The record is from RNAcentral.
AUGAACGCUGGCGGCGUGCUUAACACAUGCAAGUCGAACGAGAAGUGAAGACGGAACCCUUCGGGCGGAAGGCUUUAUUUCGAGUGGCGGACGGGUGAGUAACGCGUGGGUAACCUGCCUCAUACAGGGGGAUAACAGUUGGAAACGACUGUUAAUACCGCAUAAGACCACAGCACCGCAUGGUGCGGGGGUAAAAACUCCGGUGGUAUGAGAUGGACCCGCGUUCGAUUAGCCAGUUGGCGGGGUAACGGCCCACCAAAGCGACGAUCGAUAGCCGAUCUGAGAGGAUGACCGGCCACAUUGGGACUGAGACACGGCCCAAACUCCUACGGGAGGCAGCAGUGGGGAAUAUUGCACAAUGGGGGAUACCCUGAUGCAGCGACGCCGCGUGAGUGAAGAAGUAUUUCGGUAUGUAAAGCUCUAUCAGCAGGGAAGAAAAUGACGGUACCUGAGGAAGAAGCCCCGGCUAACUACGUG